This 468-nucleotide ribosomal RNA is filed under the name uncultured bacterium. RNAcentral's name for it is "partial 16S ribosomal RNA". It matches the Rfam family "Bacterial small subunit ribosomal RNA", at positions 28 to 507 of the family's 1533-position model. The record is from RNAcentral.
GACGAACGCUGGCGGCGUGCUUAACACAUGCAAGUCGAACGGAAAGGCCCUGCUUUUGUGGGGUGCUCGAGUGGCGAACGGGUGAGCAACACGUGAGUAACCUGCCCUUGACUUUGGGAUAACUUCAGGAAACUGGGGCUAAUACCGGAUAGGAGCUCCUGCUGCAUGGUGGGGGUUGGAAAGUUUCGGCGGUUGGGGAUGGACUCGCGGCUUAUCAGCUUGUUGGUGGGGUAGUGGCUUACCCAGGCUUUGACGGGUAGCCGGCCUGAGAGGGUGACCGGCCACAUUGGGACUGAGAUACGGACCAGACUCCUACGGGAGGCAGCAGUGGGGAAUAUUGCACAAUGGGCGGAAGCCUGAUGCAGCAACGCCGCGUGCGGGAUGACGGCCUUCGGGUUGUAAACCGCUUUAGCCUGUGACGAAGCGUGAGUGACGGUAAUGGGUAAAGAAGCACCGGCUAACUACGUG